This 335-nucleotide unclassified non-coding RNA is filed under the name soil metagenome. RNAcentral's name for it is "partial contains 5.8S ribosomal RNA, internal transcribed spacer 2, and large subunit ribosomal RNA". The stretch from base 1 to 120 matches the Rfam family "5.8S ribosomal RNA", at positions 35 to 154 of the family's 154-position model. The record is from RNAcentral.
GAUGAAGAACGUAGCGAAAUGCGAUAAGUAAUGUGAAUUGCAGAAUUCAGUGAAUCAUCGAAUCUUUGAACGCACAUUGCGCCCCUUGGUAUUCCGAGGGGCAUGCCUGUUCGAGCGUCAUUACACCACUCAAGCUAUGCUUGGUAUUGGGCGUCGUCCUUAGUUGGGCGCGCCUUAAAGACCUCGGCGAGGCCACUCCGGCUUUAGGCGUAGUAGAAUUUAUUCGAACGUCUGUCAAAGGAGAGGAACUCUGCCGACUGAAACCUUUAUUUUUCUAGGUUGACCUCGGAUCAGGUAGGGAUACCCGCUGAACUUAAGCAUAUCAUAAGCGGAGA